ACUAAGGUUCGAUUCGAGCGCAGCGAGAAAGCGUUGCCGCAGGCAACGACCCGAAGGGCGAAGCGCGCAGCGCUGAGUAAUCCUUCCCCCAUCACCA
RNAcentral lists this small RNA (97 nucleotides) under Salmonella enterica. RNAcentral's name for it is "partial RtT sRNA". It matches the Rfam family "RtT RNA", at positions 35 to 130 of the family's 130-position model. From Rfam's summary of the family: This family represents a bacterial cis-regulatory element known as RtT RNA. RNAcentral also lists the same sequence under 1 other name. The record is from RNAcentral. Lineage: Bacteria; Pseudomonadati; Pseudomonadota; Gammaproteobacteria; Enterobacterales; Enterobacteriaceae.